GAACUCUGCAAACGUUAUUCGGAAUCACUGGGCUUAAAGAGUCCGUAGGCGGCGCGUUAGGUGGGGUGUGAAAUCCCUCGGCUCAACCGAGGAAUGGCGCUCCAAACCGGCGUGCUUGAGGAAGGUAGAGGUGAGCGGAACUGAUGGUGGAGCGGUGAAAUGCGUUGAUAUCAUCAGGAACACCGGAGGCGAAGGCGGCUCACUGGGCCUUUUCUGACGCUGAGGGACGAAAGCCAGGGUAGCGAACGGGAUUAGAUACCCCGGUAGUCCUGGCUGUAAACGAUGAGCACUAGGUCGGGGACCUCCCACAGGUCCCUGGCCGUAGCGAAAGUGUUAAGUGCUCCGCCUGGGGAGUAUGGUCGCAAGGCUGAA
This 372-nucleotide ribosomal RNA is filed under the name uncultured bacterium. Its description in RNAcentral is "bacterial SSU rRNA". It matches the Rfam family "Bacterial small subunit ribosomal RNA", at positions 527 to 898 of the family's 1533-position model. The record is from RNAcentral.